UACUCAAAGACUGAUGAUGCAAUUCGA
RNAcentral lists this non-coding RNA (27 nucleotides) under Callithrix jacchus (white-tufted-ear marmoset). The record is from RNAcentral. RNAcentral also lists the same sequence under 1 other name. Lineage: Eukaryota; Metazoa; Chordata; Mammalia; Primates; Cebidae.